GACUUGUAUUAAUAUACCACCGUUAUUUAUCUAAUACAUUCCACUCAAAAUUCAUAAUUAUCUCAGACUACCCUUGAUAGAAAAAUAAAUAAAGAUCAAACAUCGGGCACUCUUCACAAUCAUCGAUUUCUUUCUUCUCUUGACCUUCCAACAAAUUUUAUAUAUAGACUCUCAUCUUAAGAAAAUCUCAAUCUUCUAUAUCAGUCCAAGUAAUAAUAUUAAAUUUAAAAAAAAUAUGAGAUCUAUAUCAG
Molecule: long non-coding RNA, 251 nt
Filed under: Elaeis guineensis (African oil palm)
Lineage: Eukaryota; Viridiplantae; Streptophyta; Magnoliopsida; Arecales; Arecaceae
Description: long non-coding RNA (EGUI_LNC077239)
Source: RNAcentral